This 265-nucleotide ribosomal RNA is filed under the name uncultured bacterium. RNAcentral's name for it is "partial 16S ribosomal RNA". It matches the Rfam family "Bacterial small subunit ribosomal RNA", at positions 89 to 354 of the family's 1533-position model. The record is from RNAcentral.
UGGCGACCGGCGCACGGGUGAGUAACACGUAUCCAACCUGCCGAUGACUCGGGGAUAGCCUUUCGAAAGAAAGAUUAAUACCCGAUGGCAUAGUUCUUCCGCAUGGUAGAACUAUUAAAGAAUUUCGGUCAUCGAUGGGGAUGCGUUCCAUUAGCUUGUUGGCGGGGUAACGGCCCACCAAGGCAUCGAUGGAUAGGGGUUCUGAGAGGAACGGUCCCCCACAUUGGAACUGAGACACGGUCCAAACUCCUACGGAAGGCAGCAG